This is a long non-coding RNA of Tripterygium wilfordii, 141 nucleotides long. RefSeq lists it as uncharacterized. NCBI's taxonomy places the organism in Eukaryota, Viridiplantae, Streptophyta, Magnoliopsida, Celastrales, Celastraceae. The transcript is spliced from 3 exons. The record is from RefSeq and is a predicted model, not a curated record.
GAAGAAUAAGGAGAGACAUCUUGGAGAACUGAAAAAGGAGAAAUCCAGGUGAAGAUCAAAUAACGCAUGUCCAGAUCCAAUAGAUGAUGACCUUUCUCUUAGUGCAUCACUAUAGAAAAUGAGAUCCAGUACUUCCAGAAA